UCCAACCAAGGCGUUAAGAUGACCCAAGGCGUUAAGAUGAUGUCAGAAACCACUCACUGCAGACAAGGAAACAAACACCUAUUCCAGGUCAUCUCACGCUG
Molecule: non-coding RNA, 101 nt
Organism: Electrophorus electricus (electric eel)
Lineage: Eukaryota; Metazoa; Chordata; Actinopteri; Gymnotiformes; Gymnotidae
Source: RefSeq, a predicted model, not a curated record